RNAcentral lists this ribosomal RNA (457 nucleotides) under uncultured bacterium. Its description in RNAcentral is "partial 16S ribosomal RNA". It matches the Rfam family "Bacterial small subunit ribosomal RNA", at positions 339 to 795 of the family's 1533-position model. The record is from RNAcentral.
CUACGGGCGGCUGCAGUAGGGAAUUUUCGGCAAUGGGGGAAACCCUGACCGAGCAACGCCGCGUGAAUGACGAAGUACUUCGGUAUGUAAAGUUCUUUUAUUAGGGAAGAAUGGCAGGUGGAAAAACCUGAUUGACGGUACCUAAUGAAUAAGCCCCGGCUAACUAUGUGCCAGCAGCCGCGGUAAUACAUAGGGGGCAAGCGUUAUCCGGAAUUAUUGGGCGUAAAGGGUGCGUAGGUGGUUAUUUAAGUCUUUGGUGUAAGUGCAGUGCUUAACGCUGUGAUGCUAAAGAAACUGGGUAACUUGAGUGUGGUAGAGGCAAGUGGAAUUCCAUGUGUAGCGGUAAAAUGCGUAAAUAUAUGGAGGAACACCAGUGGCGAAGGCGGCUUGCUGGGCCACAACUGACACUGAGGCACGAAAGCGUGGGGAGCAAACAGGAUUAGAUACCCGAGUAGUC